This 480-nucleotide ribosomal RNA is filed under the name Dothiorella iberica. Its description in RNAcentral is "eukaryotic LSU rRNA". The stretch from base 188 to 341 matches the Rfam family "5.8S ribosomal RNA". Lineage: Eukaryota; Fungi; Ascomycota; Dothideomycetes; Botryosphaeriales; Botryosphaeriaceae. The record is from RNAcentral.
GUGAACCUGCGGAAGGAUCAUUACCGAGUUGAUUCGAGCUCCGGCUCGACUCUCCCACCCUUUGUGUACCUACCUCUGUUGCUUUGGCGGGCCCGCGGUUCGGCCUCGUGCCGUCCAGCACCCGCCAGAGGACCACAAAACUCCAGUCAGUGAACGUCUCAGUCUGAAAAACAAGUUAAUAAACUAAAACUUUCAACAACGGAUCUCUUGGUUCUGGCAUCGAUGAAGAACGCAGCGAAAUGCGAUAAGUAAUGUGAAUUGCAGAAUUCAGUGAAUCAUCGAAUCUUUGAACGCACAUUGCGCCCCUUGGUAUUCCGGGGGGCAUGCCUGUUCGAGCGUCAUUUCAACCCUCAAGCUCUGCUUGGUAUUGGGCUCCGUCCUCAGGGACGCGCCUCAAAGACCUCGGCGGUGGCGUCUUGCCUCAAGCGUAGUAGAAAACACCUCGCUUUGGAGCGCACGGCGUCGCCCGCCGGACGAACC